GUGCUUGCUUUCUGCAGCACAUGUACUGAAAUUGGGAUGAUACAGAGAAGAUUAGCUCCCCGUGCAAGGAUAACACCCAAAUUUGUGAAGUGUUUCAUAAUUUU
Small nuclear RNA from Mesocricetus auratus (golden hamster), 104 nucleotides. The record is from Ensembl. Lineage: Eukaryota; Metazoa; Chordata; Mammalia; Rodentia; Cricetidae.